This 1446-nucleotide ribosomal RNA is filed under the name uncultured Lachnospiraceae bacterium. RNAcentral describes it as "bacterial SSU rRNA". It matches the Rfam family "Bacterial small subunit ribosomal RNA". Lineage: Bacteria; Bacillati; Bacillota; Clostridia; Lachnospirales; Lachnospiraceae. The record is from RNAcentral.
GAUGAACGCUGGCGGCGUGCUUAACACAUGCAAGUCGAACGAAGCAUUUACUUGGAAGUUUUCGGAUGGAAGAGUAAAUGACUGAGUGGCGGACGGGUGAGUAACGCGUGGGUAACCUGCCUCACACAGGGGGAUAACAGUUAGAAAUGACUGCUAAUACCGCAUAAGACCACAGAGUCGCAUGGCUCAGAGGUAAAAACUCCGGUGGUGUGAGAUGGACCCGCGUCUGAUUAGCUGGUUGGUGGGGUAACGGCCUACCAAGGCGACGAUCAGUAGCCGACCUGAGAGGGUGACCGGCCACAUUGGGACUGAGACACGGCCCAAACUCCUACGGGAGGCAGCAGUGGGGAAUAUUGCACAAUGGGCGAAAGCCUGAUGCAGCGACGCCGCGUGAGUGAAGAAGUAUUUCGGUAUGUAAAGCUCUAUCAGCAGGGAAGAAAAUGACGGUACCUGACUAAGAAGCCCCGGCUAACUACGUGCCAGCAGCCGCGGUAAUACGUAGGGGGCAAGCGUUAUCCGGAUUUACUGGGUGUAAAGGGAGCGUAGACGGCGAUACAAGUCUGAAGUGAAAGCCCAGGGCUCAACCCUGGGACUGCUUUGGAAACUGUGUUGCUGGAGUGMAGGAGAGGYRAGYGGAAUUCCUAGUGUAGCGGUGAAAUGCGUARAUAUUAGGAGGAACACCAGUGGCGAAGGCGGCUCRCUGGACUKUAACUGACGUUGAGGCUCGAAAGCGUGGGUAGCAAACAGGAUUAGAUACCCUGGUAGUCCACGCUGUAAACGAUGAUUACUAGGUGUGGGGGGACUGACCCCUUCCGUGCCGGAGUUAACACAAUAAGUAAUCCACCUGGGGAGUACGACCGCAAGGUUGAAACUCAAAGGAAUUGACGGGGGCCCGCACAAGCAGUGGAGUAUGUGGUUUAAUUCGAAGCAACGCGAAGAACCUUACCAGGUCUUGACAUACCAUGAAUAGCCUAGAGAUAGGUGAAGCCCUUCGGGGCAUGGAUACAGGUGGUGCAUGGUUGUCGUCAGCUCGUGUCGUGAGAUGUUGGGUUAAGUCCCGCAACGAGCGCAACCCUUACUGUUAGUUGCUACGCAAGAGCACUCUAACGGGACUGCCGUUGACAAAACGGAGGGAGGUGGGGAUGACGUCAAAUCAUCAUGCCCCUUAUGACCUGGGCUACACACGUACUACAAUGGAUAUUAACAGAGGGAAGCAAUACGGUGACGUGGAGCAAACCCCUAAAAGUAUUCUCAGUUCGGAUUGUAGGCUGCAACUCGCCUACAUGAAGCCGGAAUUGCUAGUAAUCGCGGAUCAGAAUGCCGCGGUGAAUACGUUCCCGGGCCUUGUACACACCGCCCGUCACACCACGAGAGUUGGCAACACCCGAAGCCGGUAGUCUAACCGUAAGGAGGACGUCGUCGAAGGUGGGGUUGAUGAUUGGGGUG